Molecule: ribosomal RNA, 176 nt
Filed under: Vibrio parahaemolyticus
Lineage: Bacteria; Pseudomonadati; Pseudomonadota; Gammaproteobacteria; Vibrionales; Vibrionaceae
Also listed under: 1 other name
Description: partial 16S ribosomal RNA
Rfam family: Bacterial small subunit ribosomal RNA
Source: RNAcentral
UUAAAUUGAAGAGUUUGAUCAUGGCUCAGAUUGAACGCUGGCGGCAGGCCUAACACAUGCAAGUCGAGCGGAAACGAGUUAUCUGAACCUUCGGGGAACGAUAACGGCGUCGAGCGGCGGACGGGUGAGUAAUGCCUAGGAAAUUGCCCUGAUGUGGGGGAUAACCAUUGGAAACG